GCCGAAUUAGCUCAAGGGUAGAGCGAUGCACUCGUAAUGCAUAGGCUACAGGUUCAAUUCCUGUAUUCGGCACCA
RNAcentral lists this transfer RNA (75 nucleotides) under Mycoplasmoides pneumoniae. RNAcentral's name for it is "tRNA-Thr". It matches the Rfam family "tRNA". Rfam says of the family: Transfer RNA (tRNA) molecules are approximately 80 nucleotides in length. RNAcentral also lists the same sequence under 17 other names. The record is from RNAcentral. Lineage: Bacteria; Bacillati; Mycoplasmatota; Mycoplasmoidales; Mycoplasmoidaceae.